GACGAACGCUGGCGGCGUGCCUAAUACAUGCCAGUAGAACGCUGAAGCGAGGAGCUUGCUCUUCUUGGAUGAGUUGCGAACGGGUGAGUAACGCGUAGGUAACCUGCCUUGUAGCGGGGGAUAACUAUUGGAAACGAUAGCUAAUACCGCAUAACAAUGGAUGACACAUGUCAUUUAUUUGAAAGGGGCAAUUGCUCCACUACAAGAUGGACCUGCGUUGUAUUAGCUAGUAGGUGAGGUAAUGGCUCACCUAGGCGACGAUACAUAGCCGACCUGAGAGGGGGAUCGGCCACACGGGGACUGGGACACGGCCCAGACUCCUACGGGAGGCAGCAGUAGGGAAUCUUCGGCAAUGGGGGCAACCCUGACCGAGCAACGCCGCGUGAGUGAAGAAGGUUUUCGGAUCGUAAAGCUCUGUUGUAAGUCAAGAACGGGUGUGAGAGUGGAAAGUUCACACUGUGACGGUAGCUUACCAGAAAGGGACGGCUAACUACGUG
RNAcentral lists this ribosomal RNA (497 nucleotides) under uncultured bacterium. RNAcentral describes it as "partial 16S ribosomal RNA". It matches the Rfam family "Bacterial small subunit ribosomal RNA", at positions 28 to 507 of the family's 1533-position model. The record is from RNAcentral.